RNAcentral lists this unclassified non-coding RNA (283 nucleotides) under Hevea brasiliensis (rubber tree). The record is from RNAcentral. Lineage: Eukaryota; Viridiplantae; Streptophyta; Magnoliopsida; Malpighiales; Euphorbiaceae.
AAAUGAAAAAAAAGGCAGUUUAGCUGGUUCAAUUCAUUUACAGUUUUAAGUUAAAGAUGGGUUUGACUGGUUUUGAUUCUGACUUGAUUUAAACCAGUCUAAUUCCGAAUCGGCCCUUGGCCUGGUCUAGUCAUGAAACAGCGUAAGCGUAGUGGCUCUUCGACGUAAUGAUGAGCAUCCAGACGAUGUAAGAUGGUGGCCUGUGAAGAAGGCACAACUCUCUUAUGUGAUAACCGCAUCCUAGCACAAAGAAAACUGCUCAAGUGCUAUUCGUGGUGCAACA